This is a long non-coding RNA of Hevea brasiliensis (rubber tree), 832 nucleotides long. RefSeq lists it as uncharacterized. The transcript has 2 exons. Lineage: Eukaryota; Viridiplantae; Streptophyta; Magnoliopsida; Malpighiales; Euphorbiaceae. The record is from RefSeq and is a predicted model, not a curated record.
UUGGGAACAAAAUCCAUACCGCAUCUCCAUGCUCAGGCCUUCCAAGCCCUAUUUCUGUCACCUCCAGUAGCACCAAUGAAUUGACAACAGUGAAAUCGGUAGGAGCUUUAGCAUCCGCAAAUAACCAAAUUGAAACCUCAAAGACAGUUAGUUCAGUAGCACCUGGUUCUGCAAUUCUGAUUUCAGCCGGUGUGUCUCUAAGUCUAAGCUUAUAUGUGACUUCUAAAAUUAUAAAGUUUUCUUUUUCUGAAUAAUUAUGGAGUUGAUCUAGUAUGCAUAUAUAAUGUCAUUGUAACAAAAUGAUGGUUGGCUCGCCGGGGCCGUACCUCAGGCUUGUAAAGCAUCAUUGGCUCUGUUUCUGGAGAAGCGCAAGGAAAGAGUGAUGAAUACAUCGCCACACAACGUAAGCAAGAAAUCCCUAGAUUGCAGUGCCACUGAAUGUGAUGGUGUGAGUUUAUCCAUCAAUUCUCUAUCUUCUCCCGGCCAUCAAUGAGCAGUCAAGGACACAGAAGAUUCAAAUCCAAUACCAUGCACUCUACAACUAUAAAGGAAGAGAGAUCUUCAUCAACGUCUAUUUUUAGUUCUUUAAUUGUAAGCUCAAUUCUUUUUACUUAAAACUGUUAGGUUUCCUCAAUGUCUUAGAUAUAUUGCUCUUACUAUCAGUACCAAUCUUUUGAAUUUUAACUUAAAAUAUGUUGUAAGAAGUAUAAUUUUUCACAUGAUGCAUUUUUCCCUUUAUUUCUAUUCAUAGACUACCACAUUCAUAAUGGAACUUUUUUCAUGGAAGAAUUUACUGUGCUGUGCAGGGGAAUUCUUUCAUCUUUCUGGCUGA